UUAGUGGAAAGCUUACUUAAUUACUGCUUGUAACAAGCUAAAUAAAAACCAUUUUCCUGUUCUCUGCUUGUGUUUGAAAGUUGAAAAAAUUAAUCUUUCUCUGCACAGUUAACUGGUGCCACACACUUACUCUUUUUAAACACAUCAUUACAGAACAGCUGAACUUUGAAACUUGGCAAUUUCUAAUAUCUUUAGUAAUCUAUCUCUAAGUAUAUUUGAAAGACUUUACUUUGUCUGAAAUUUUAAUAAACACAAGAUUUACAGGGUAUUGCUGAGUACCAGGACUGUCAAGGAGUUAAAACCCCAUCCCACCAAAAGGCGGUAAACAGCAAUCAGUACCAAUGGACAGCCCUGUAUAGUCCACUCAAAUGUGAGGAAUUCAGCAGCAGUUCAAGAUCUGACCCCGAGGGCAGAACUGGAAGGAGCUGUGAGAGGUCCUGUGGGGCAUCCUCAAUGAAAAGUCCAAUCUACAUGUUGUCUUUGCUUUCAGAUUAACUAUUGUGUUUUGUGGAAGAUUUUAUUAAUUUUUUUUUUUUUUGUAAUUAUUUUUUUGUUAAGACCAUGAGGGGCAUUUCCCAACUUCCCUGAUAAAAUGUAUCCAUCUUCACAUCUGGAAACCUUUACCUAAAGUCUAACCUGGAUCUUCCUUAAUGUUACCUCUUUGAAUACCUACCAUGCAGUUCUUUUUGCAGGAUGAAUCUACCAGUCUUUGAGGUUAGCCUCUAAGAAAACUUCUAGCCUCUGUAACACAGCAGUUUGCAUUUUCUUUAUUUCGCUUGACAAGCACAAGUGCUGUUAGUCUCCGAGUAUUGCUGGCUGCGUUGUUUGAGGGAGGAAAAAAAACACUUCUCAAAUGAAACACCGCAUCAGCACUGAAAUUAUAAAAUAUAUUUCAAGUACAACCUAAAAGAAGAUCAGGAAAUCUGAAAAUGUGGGAGCAGAAUAACAAUCCAUCAAAGAAUGACACAUUAGCAUGGAGACUGUCACACUGCUUGUCCACUUGUCACAGCUGAACUCUAAGCUAUUCAGCCAACACCCUGAGACUGACCCCAACCAAGGUGGUGGCUCUACACGAUACCUCCUGCAUUGAAAACAUGGAAGAUUCCUGCUGCUUCCCAAAGUGUCUUAAAGGAAAAGGUUCAUCAAGGACUGGAAGCAACCAAGUCCAGAAAUGCGACUGGAGACCGUCACAAAUGAGACGUGGUGACUGGUGCAUCACAGUGUUCUGACAUGAGUGUUAGGUAAGUACAGCAUGUCUCCUGGAAUGAUUUAGCACUCCAUGUGCAGUGAUUAGCACACCUAUAGCCUGAAGUGAAGGCUUCUGCUUUCCCAACAUAGACUUUGUCCCACCUGUUCUUCAUGUCCCACACUCACAGCCCUCUAUGACCAAGGCAGUGGUUUUGGAAGAACAUUCUGUCUCCCAGCAUUGCUCAUGAACAAGUAUUGCGGUGAUGAGCCUGCUGGAGCAGCUUCAGUAACUAUUGGCAUUUCAAAUCAUCUUGCUAUUUUUUAUCAAAUAACUAUAUGGUGCAUUUGGCUUGUGCAAAAAGUACUGUUCAGUGACAGUUGUAACCACUGGAAAGAACACUUUUGAAAGAAUGUUUAUAUUUCCUAAGAACUAAAGAAAGUAUAUGACAUUUUCCUGUAUCUAUAAACAACACAAUUUGAAUAAUAUAUUGUGCCAAUAAAGAUGUCAAAAUCUUGUUGAAAAAUGAAUAUGAAAUGUCUGCUUUAUCAUUCAUAUUCCAGGUUUUCUGAGGGAGCCAGCCUAGGCUUUAAGAUGUAUCAUUUGUGCAAGAGAGAAUAAUUAUUAUUCAUCUGUCUCUCUGAAAAUUAAAAUCCAAAAUACAUACACUGGUAAACAAGUUUUCCUAUAUCUUUGCUACAGGAACUGAAUCCAUUGAUUAUAUUAAAUGUGAAUUGUUUUCCUGGCCACUCUCCCACAUUGUGGAGAGCCAUUCAAAUCAUGUUUCCUUGAACAUUUAGCAGCUGGCAAUUACUGGUUGCAGACUACCUUCCAAGAAGACAGUGUGCAUACAAACAAAAUAUACAGUAUUAUACACCUACUUACAUAUACGGAGGAGAAUAAGGCACAUUUAUCCCUUCAUUAAUAAGUAUAUCAGCUUUCACAGUGGUGGAACGAAGGAUCUUCACUAGGGAAUUGAUUCAGCAAUAAGUUUAUCAGUAUUACUGACUUUGCAGGGUCCGUUUCUUGGAGAAUGGACAGCAGCUUCCAGUAUCUUUGUCUACUGUGAGUGCAACAAUAAAAAGAAUAAAAAGAAUAUUCAGAACAAGCACUAUUAAAUUCACCAAGAAUCACUUGAAACCUGGUCCAAAUCCUGCUGAGGUUAAAAAACGUGAUCCAUUGCAGCAGCAGGACCAUGAGAAAAGUAGUUUCUCAAAAACAUGCGUUUCUGAUGCUAACUUGAAACCUAUUUGCUUUGUUUACCAGUAAAAACAUUGUGAUAAUGGACUAGAUGCCGAGAAGAUCAUUUGUCAUUUUGAACCUGGUAACAGGAUUGAAAGCCAUAUAGCAUAUAAUUUUAGGUAAUAAAUAGCACGCUUUGGACGUAGACAACCAAUCUUAAGCAUCAGAAGAGGGUACGCCUUUGGAAGCAGGCAGUACCUCAUCUCUUUGGAUGUUGCCUGUACAGAAGUUCAUCUUUCCAUCCCUGUGACAGGCCCUUCAGCCUCUCACUAUAGCAACAGUUGCCCCAGGUUGAGGUGGCAAUACAUAUAACCAACUUUAAUAUUCAGCUUCAGCUACAUGGUGACAUUUGGAUAGACAAUGUAUGCAGCAAGUUGUAACAUUUCUUCGCAACCAAAGCUAGAAGCCUGCUGCAAAAAUGAGGCACUUAAUUGCUCAAGCCUGACUCAUGAAAAUGACCACUUUCUACACACAGCUCUCCACUGACUUGACUGUACUUAUUCAUAAGAAUGAUAGCAGUUGGUGUAACAAGGUCAUGCCUACAACAACGCUUCUGCAGCGCACCAUACCAGACAGCAAAGAACACUGCUUCAUUUCUUCAGGAAUGUUCUCUUUGCUUUUUUCUGGUUGGGCUGAAGGGCUUACAUAUUUGUGUGUGUGUAUGUUUAUAGAUGUAUAACGUGUACAGCUUUAUUUCCCUCUUUUAAAUUCUUUGGAAAUACAAAGCAAAACAAGAAUUUUGGAGUGACUAAGAAACAUGUAGGUGAGAUAUCUGUCAGUUCUUAAUAGAAGGAUGGCAAGUGCUAAGUUCUUACAAAAAGCAUUUCUUUUCCUGUAAUGGUUCAGCAAAAUUAGUUGUGUGACAGAAGCUCAAAAGCAAAGAAAUGUAUUCUCAUCUAGGCAAGACUGAUUUACUGAAGGCACUUUUAUCUCAGUACAAAUUAAAAUCAAACUCAGCACACUGCGAAGACGAGAAAUCACCGAUUUCAGAAUAAAUCAAGAUUAACUUGCCCGAUAUCUGUAAUAUUCUAAAAAGAUCCAUUUUCAUGUAAUUCACAGAGCCCUGUAGAGAGUUUGAACUAAGUUAAAACUGAAGGAGCAGCAUAAUAAUCUUCUACCACUACACUGUUCACCUUUGUAUAUCAAAAACACACAUGAAAAAAGACGUCUGGUUGUACUGGUAUGGGUUAUUUGGGAGAAGGGUGUAGAGAUGGUGUGUGUUUGUGAGAGUCACAGUCCAGCCAUCUCUACCAUGUCUCUGCGAUGCAUGGAAGAUAUGUAGAUAUACAUGUGUAUAUCUACCACCUGUGCUUUGCAAACCAUACAGACUUGCUCGUCAGUGAGUUCCUGCAAGAAACCCCAAACACUGGAAACACUUUAAGGUAGGAGAUCAGACCUGUAGAAACCCCAGCAAAUAGUGAUCUUUCUCCAGCUGUGGUGCUUUGUUUUACAUAUUUUUCAGGGGUGCACUGGGAUGAUGACUACUUUUAAGAUACUGUUUACUCUCACUUUGGACAAAGGAGCUCUGUGCAAUAUAUAAAGAAAGAAUACAGUCAGCUGCAGGCACAAUAUAAAAAUCCAAAUUUCAUUAACUGGAAA
This is a long non-coding RNA of Strigops habroptila (Kakapo), 4027 nucleotides long. RefSeq lists it as uncharacterized. The record is from RefSeq and is a predicted model, not a curated record. The transcript has 7 exons. NCBI's taxonomy places the organism in Eukaryota, Metazoa, Chordata, Aves, Psittaciformes, Psittacidae.